AGUGAACGCUGGCGGUAGGCCUAACACAUGCAAGUCGAACGACAACACAGUAAGAGCUUGCUCUUACGGGUGGCGAGUGGCGGACGGGUGACGAAUACAUCGGAAUCUACUUUUUCGUGGGGGAUAACGUAGGGAAACUUACGCUAAUACCGCAUACGACCUACGGGUGAAAGCAGGGGAUCUUCGGACCUUGCGCGAUUCAAUGAGCCGAUGUCGGAUUAGCUAGUUGGCGGGGUAAAGGCCCACCAAGGCGACGAUCCGUAGCUGGUCUGAGAGGAUGAUCAGCCACACUGGAACUGAGACACGGUCCAGACUCCUACGGGAGGCAGCAGUGGGGAAUAUUGGACAAUGGGCGCAAGCCUGAUCCAGCCAUACCGCGUGGGUGAAGAAGGCCUUCGGGUUGUAAAGCCCUUUUGUUGGGAAAGAAAAGCAGCAGGUUAAUACCCCGCUGUUCUGACGGUACCCAAAGAAUAAGCACCGGCUAACUUCGUG
Molecule: ribosomal RNA, 492 nt
Filed under: uncultured bacterium
Lineage: Bacteria
Description: partial 16S ribosomal RNA
Rfam family: Bacterial small subunit ribosomal RNA
Source: RNAcentral